AUUGAACGCUGGCGGCAUGCCUUACACAUGCAAGUCGAACGGCAGCACGGGUGCUUGCACCUGGUGGCGAGUGGCGAACGGGUGAGUAAUACAUCGGAACAUGUCCUGUAGUGGGGGAUAGCCCGGCGAAAGCCGGAUUAAUACCGCAUACGAUCUACGGAUGAAAGCGGGGGACCCUCGGGCCUCGCGCUAUAGGGUUGGCCGAUGGCUGAUUAGCUAGUUGGUGGGGUAAAGGCCUACCAAGGCGACGAUCAGUAGCUGGUCUGAGAGGACGACCAGCCACACUGGGACUGAGACACGGCCCAGACUCCUACGGGAGGCAGCAGUGGGGAAUUUUGGACAAUGGGCGAAAGCCUGAUCCAGCAAUGCCGCGUGUGUGAAGAAGGCCUUCGGGUUGUAAAGCACUUUUGUCCGGAAAGAAAUCCUUGGCCCUAAUACGGUCGGGGGAUGACGGUACCGGAAGAAUAAGCACCGGCUAACUACGUG
Molecule: ribosomal RNA, 486 nt
Filed under: uncultured bacterium
Lineage: Bacteria
Description: partial 16S ribosomal RNA
Rfam family: Bacterial small subunit ribosomal RNA
Source: RNAcentral